This is a non-coding RNA of Ricinus communis (castor bean), 119 nucleotides long. The record is from Rfam. NCBI's taxonomy places the organism in Eukaryota, Viridiplantae, Streptophyta, Magnoliopsida, Malpighiales, Euphorbiaceae.
GGGUGCGAUCAUACCAGCACUAAUGCACCGGAUCCCUUCAGAACUCCGAAGUUAAAAGUGCUUGGGCGUUAGUAGUUCUAAGAUGGGUGACCUCUUGGGAAGUCCUCGUGUUGCACCCC